UAUGUGAUCGUCUCUCGCAUAUCAAUAAGCGGAGGAAAAGAAACUAACAAGGAUUCCCCUAGUAACGGCGAGUGAAGCGGGAAGAGCUCAAAUUUGAAAUCUUAAAGGGUUUCCCUUUACGAAUUGUAGUUUGAAGAAGUGUUUUCUGUUGAGGUUUUGGUAAAAGUUCUUUGGAAUAGGACAUCAUAGAGGGUGAGAAUCCCGUAUUUGACCUUUACUUUCAACUUUGUGAUACACUUUCAAAGAGUCGGAUUGUUUGGGAAUGCAGUCCAAAAUGGGUGGUAAAUUUCAUCUAAAGCUAAAUAUUGGCGAGAGACCGAUAGCGAACAAGUACCGUGAGGGAAAGAUGAAAAGAACUUUGAAAAGAGAGUUAAACAGUACGUGAAAUUGUCAAAAGGGAAGCGUUUGACACCAGUGUUGUUUUUCUGAAAAUCAAUUAAAGAACUGUUUAUGCUAAGCUGUUUAGACUUUAUCAGCUAUCUGUUUAGUUUUGAGCUUUUCUUUAAUGCACUUUUCAGUUAACAAGUCAACAUCAAUUUCUUUUGCUGUAAAAAAGCUUGAGGAAGGUGGCUUGAGAUUCGUCUUAAGUGUUUAUAGCCUCUUGCCUAUGCAGUCGGAGAGAUUGAGGUCUGCAGCGUAGAUCCUUCGGGGCUAAAUGCAUUUGUGCUAAGUUAUAGCAUUUUAUAGACAACUUGUUGACUAUGAUUUGUCUUGUAGCUUACUCGCUUAUGUUAUUUUACCUACGCUUAGGAUGUUGAGCGCAUGUCUCUCUCU
RNAcentral lists this ribosomal RNA (774 nucleotides) under uncultured Neocallimastigales. Its description in RNAcentral is "partial large subunit ribosomal RNA". It matches the Rfam family "Eukaryotic large subunit ribosomal RNA", at positions 24 to 616 of the family's 3401-position model. The record is from RNAcentral. Lineage: Eukaryota; Fungi; Neocallimastigomycota; Neocallimastigomycetes; Neocallimastigales.